AUGCUUGAUUUUUCUGAAGUUAAGGGAACCUACUUCGUGCCCUAUGAGUUCCGUAUCAUAGAAAUUGACAAGCCUCAAGCACAAGAGCAAGUAGCCAAACAAAGUUCGGCUGAUAAGGAUCUUCAAGGUAAUGAUGCACGAAAUAAAGAAAAAGAUAAUGAAAAGGCGUUGGAGAGUCAUCCAAAGACGAAGCUAGAUAUUGUUCAAGUCACACCACCAUCAUGGUCUCCCAACGUAUUUAAAGAGGUAUGCAUAGCGAGUAAUUUACCUAUUUUCAGAUUUGGUCGCACCUUCAUUACUGAUGCAUCUAUAAGAAAUAUUCUCAUAAGUAAUUUUGAAAGACCAAUGAAGAAGGGUAAUUUACUCGCUAGCAAUAAAAUUGUUAUGGAACAUAUCGGUCAACCCAUUGCGCCAUUUAUAAAGAUCGAUAAUGACUUAUUGUUACGGCCAAAGCUUUCCCUGUUGCUUUAUCUAAAGCUCAUAUCUAGUUGGGUAGCUUUGCUUAUUUCGUACUUGGCUUGCACAUGGUCUCAACUGACACAUGUAUGUUCUAAAUAUCUUCGUUUCAGAAAUUUAAAGCCAAGGUUAAAUUCUAUUGAGAAAACUGAUGCUAAUAUAAUAUCUUACCCAAAGACAUCGGAGAUAGAGUGGAAAACGCAAUGCAUAGCCGAAUGGGGAGAUUCCAAAUCUGAACCAUUCGUUUGCUUAUCUCCAAAGCCGUUCAAACAGCAAGAUCGGCUAGAAAACAAGAAGUAUACCUUCAAUUCAAGCAUGUGUGAUCAAAUAUUUGAUUUGUUGCUAAAAAAUAAAUACAUAACAACUCUUGAUCACCAUGUUAAGCCAUCAAUCCAAGGACGAAUGUAUUGUAAGUUGCAUGAUUUGUCCAAGCAUAAUUUUGAGAAUUGCAACAUGUUUCGUCCAAUAGUUAAAUCCACCAUUAAAAAAGGACGAUUGAAGUUUGUUGAAACACCAAGAGAUGACCAGUCUAUUCCGAUUGGUCCCAAUGGCAAAAAGUUUUUGCAUCGGCUGCUUCAAGCCGAUCCAUUUAAAGAGAAUGUAAAAGCUGCAGGUGAUGGGAUCAAGCUUUCAAGUAAAGAAGUUGUUGAAGAGCAUAACGAACAUAAUCUUGAGGGCGAGAAUUCCGUCGAAGCUACAAUGGAGACGCCAAGGAGUGGGGGGCAGCAAGCAAAUCCAAUGAUCAAUGAAAGCAAACCAAAAAAAACAAAGGCCGAAAGCGCAAAUGGAAGGGAUCAAAAAUCACCUUUGUUGAACUAUUGGAAAAAUAUCAAAAGAAGAGUGAAGAGAAGAAUGCUUAUCAGCCAAAUCAUGCAAAGAAACCAAGAUCAUCCCCAAGGCGCAAAUAUGAGGAUCGGUAUUGGCAAAGUGAGAAUUUUAAUGCAACAUAUUCAUAUCCUUAUUUUGGGCCACCAAUGCCAAUGUCGUGGAUGCCUCCCUAUGCUCAUAUAG
RNAcentral lists this ribosomal RNA (1467 nucleotides) under Triticum aestivum (bread wheat). RNAcentral's name for it is "partial small subunit ribosomal RNA". The record is from RNAcentral. Lineage: Eukaryota; Viridiplantae; Streptophyta; Magnoliopsida; Poales; Poaceae.